GAUGAAGAACGCAGCGAAAUGCGAUAAGUAAUGUGAACUGCAGAAUUCAGUGAAUCAUCGAAUCUUUGAACGCACAUUGCGCCCGCUAGUAUUCUGGCGGGCAUGCCUGUCCGAGCGUCAUUUCAACCCUCAAGCCCCCGGGCUUGGUGUUGGGGAUCGGCGAGCCUCCGCGCCCGCCGUCCCCUAAAUCUAGUGGCGGUCUCGCUGUAGCUUCCUCUGCGUAGUAGCACACCUCGCACUGGGAAACAGCGCGGCCACGCCGUUAAACCCCCAACUUCUGAACGUUUGACCUCGGAUCAGGUAGGAAUACCCGCUGAACUUAAGCAUAUCAAUAAGCGGAGGA
This 343-nucleotide unclassified non-coding RNA is filed under the name soil metagenome. RNAcentral's name for it is "partial contains 5.8S ribosomal RNA, internal transcribed spacer 2, and large subunit ribosomal RNA". The stretch from base 1 to 120 matches the Rfam family "5.8S ribosomal RNA", at positions 35 to 154 of the family's 154-position model. The record is from RNAcentral.